RNAcentral lists this ribosomal RNA (468 nucleotides) under uncultured bacterium. RNAcentral describes it as "partial 16S ribosomal RNA". It matches the Rfam family "Bacterial small subunit ribosomal RNA", at positions 28 to 507 of the family's 1533-position model. The record is from RNAcentral.
GACGAACGCUGGCGGCGUGCUUAACACAUGCAAGUCGAACGGAAAGGCCCUGCUUUUGUGGGGUGCUCGAGUGGCGAACGGGUGAGUAACACGUGAGUAACCUGCCCUUGACUUUGGGAUAACUUCAGGAAACUGGGGCUAAUACCGGAUAGGAGCUCCUGCUGCAUGGUGGGGGUUGGAAAGUUUCGGCGGUUGGGGAUGGACUCGCGGCUUAUCAGCUUGUUGGUGGGGUAGUGGCUUACCAAGGCUUUGACGGGUAGCCGGCCUGAGAGGGUGCCCGGCCACAUUGGGACUGAGAUGCGGCCCAGACUCCUACGGGAGGCAGCAGUGGGGAAUAUUGCACAAUGGGCGGAAGCCUGAUGCAGCAACGCCGCGUGCGGGAUGACGGCCUUCGGGUUGUAAACCGCUUUCGCCUGUGACGAAGCGUGAGUGACGGUAAUGGGUAAAGAAGCACCGGCUAACUACGUG